This 1365-nucleotide ribosomal RNA is filed under the name uncultured bacterium. Its description in RNAcentral is "bacterial SSU rRNA". It matches the Rfam family "Bacterial small subunit ribosomal RNA", at positions 35 to 1381 of the family's 1533-position model. The record is from RNAcentral.
GCUGGCGGCGUGCCUAAUACAUGCAAGUCGAGCGAACGGACGAGAAGCUUGCUUCUCUGAUGUUAGCGGCGGACGGGUGAGUAACACGUGGAUAACCUACCUAUAAGACUGGGAUAACUUCGGGAAACCGGAGCUAAUACCGGAUAAUAUUUUGAACCGCAUGGUUCAAAAGUGAAAGACGGUCUUGCUGUCACUUAUAGAUGGAUCCGCGCUGCAUUAGCUAGUUGGUAAGGUAACGGCUUACCAAGGCAACGAUGCAUAGCCGACCUGAGAGGGUGAUCGGCCACACUGGAACUGAGACACGGUCCAGACUCCUACGGGAGGCAGCAGUAGGGAAUCUUCCGCAAUGGGCGAAAGCCUGACGGAGCAACGCCGCGUGAGUGAUGAAGGUCUUCGGAUCGUAAAACUCUGUUAUUAGGGAAGAACAUAUGUGUAAGUAACUGUGCACAUCUUGACGGUACCUAAUCAGAAAGCCACGGCUAACUACGUGCCAGCAGCCGCGGUAAUACGUAGGUGGCAAGCGUUAUCCGGAAUUAUUGGGCGUAAAGCGCGCGUAGGCGGUUUUUUAAGUCUGAUGUGAAAGCCCACGGCUCAACCGUGGAGGGUCAUUGGAAACUGGAAAACUUGAGUGCAGAAGAGGAAAGUGGAAUUCCAUGUGUAGCGGUGAAAUGCGCAGAGAUAUGGAGGAACACCAGUGGCGAAGGCGACUUUCUGGUCUGUAACUGACGCUGAUGUGCGAAAGCGUGGGGAUCAAACAGGAUUAGAUACCCUGGUAGUCCACGCCGUAAACGAUGAGUGCUAAGUGUUAGGGGGUUUCCGCCCCUUAGUGCUGCAGCUAACGCAUUAAGCACUCCGCCUGGGGAGUACGACCGCAAGGUUGAAACUCAAAGGAAUUGACGGGGACCCGCACAAGCGGUGGAGCAUGUGGUUUAAUUCGAAGCAACGCGAAGAACCUUACCAAAUCUUGACAUCCUUUGACAACUCUAGAGAUAGAGCCUUCCCCUUCGGGGGACAAAGUGACAGGUGGUGCAUGGUUGUCGUCAGCUCGUGUCGUGAGAUGUUGGGUUAAGUCCCGCAACGAGCGCAACCCUUAAGCUUAGUUGCCAUCAUUAAGUUGGGCACUCUAAGUUGACUGCCGGUGACAAACCGGAGGAAGGUGGGGAUGACGUCAAAUCAUCAUGCCCCUUAUGAUUUGGGCUACACACGUGCUACAAUGGACAAUACAAAGGGCAGCGAAACCGCGAGGUCAAGCAAAUCCCAUAAAGUUGUUCUCAGUUCGGAUUGUGGUCUGCAACUCGACUACAUGAAGCUGGAAUCGCUAGUAAUCGUAGAUCAGCAUGCUACGGUGAAUACGUUCCCGGGUCU